GUUCAUGUUUACCUUCGCUGUACACCAAACACUAAAGUAUACUAAGUAAUCUUUCUUAUUUUAUAAUUCAUAUCAAUAGAUAGUGGAAGAUAUACAAAUCUCACCUAUUGGGGCUGUAGCCAUAAAAUGUUAUCUUUGAAACAAAUAUCAUCAAUUCUGGAUUAAAUUAAAUAUUUAGAAAAUCUACAAUGUGUCCAUAAUGUGUGGGUCGGCACUGCCGACCCUGACCGGCCGCCACUGAUACUACUCAAAAACUUUGGUUUCGGCCUGGAGGGAAAUGUGUUACGAGAAAAAUCUUAUUUCUCUGGACUAAAAACUCGAAAAGCCGUACAGCUGUAUAACACGUGUUAUAAAUAUGUUCACUAUUAAAAAUACAAUAAAAUUUAUAUUUGAAA
Molecule: long non-coding RNA, 395 nt
Organism: Diabrotica virgifera virgifera (western corn rootworm)
Lineage: Eukaryota; Metazoa; Arthropoda; Insecta; Coleoptera; Chrysomelidae
Exons: 2
Source: RefSeq, a predicted model, not a curated record